UAUUUGCAUUAAUUAAAAUAG
This 21-nucleotide non-coding RNA is filed under the name Caenorhabditis elegans. Lineage: Eukaryota; Metazoa; Nematoda; Chromadorea; Rhabditida; Rhabditidae. The record is from RNAcentral.